GAUGAACGCUGGCGGCGUGCCUAAUACAUGCAAGUCGAGCGAACAGACGAGGAGCUUGCUCCUCUGACGUUAGCGGCGGACGGGUGAGUAACACGUGGAUAACCUACCUAUAAGACUGGGAUAACUUCGGGAAACCGGAGCUAAUACCGGAUAAUAUAUUGAACCGCAUUGUUCAAUAGUGAAAGACGGUUUUGCUGUCACUUAUAGAUGGAUCCGCGCCGCAUUAGCUAGUUGGUAAGGUAACGGCUUACCAAGGCGACGAUGCGUAGCCGACCUGAGAGGGUGAUCGGCCACACUGGAACUGAGACACGGUCCAGACUCCUACGGGAGGCAGCAGUAGGGAAUCUUCCGCAAUGGGCGAAAGCCUGACGGAGCAACGCAGCGUGAGUGAUGAAGGUCUUCGGAUCGUAAAACUCUGUUAUUAGGGAAGAACAAAUGUGUAAGUAACUAUGCACGUCUUGACGGUACCUAAUCAGAAAGCCACGGCUAACUACGUG
Molecule: ribosomal RNA, 497 nt
Filed under: uncultured bacterium
Lineage: Bacteria
Description: partial 16S ribosomal RNA
Rfam family: Bacterial small subunit ribosomal RNA
Source: RNAcentral